UCCCUGGUGGCUCAGACCUUAAAGUGUCCACCUACAAUGUGGGAGACCCAGGUUCAAUCCCUGGGUAGGGAA
This 72-nucleotide transfer RNA is filed under the name Bos taurus (domestic cattle). It matches the Rfam family "tRNA". From Rfam's summary of the family: Transfer RNA (tRNA) molecules are approximately 80 nucleotides in length. Lineage: Eukaryota; Metazoa; Chordata; Mammalia; Artiodactyla; Bovidae. The record is from Rfam by way of RNAcentral. RNAcentral also lists the same sequence under 5 other names.